RNAcentral lists this ribosomal RNA (440 nucleotides) under uncultured bacterium. Its description in RNAcentral is "partial 16S ribosomal RNA". It matches the Rfam family "Bacterial small subunit ribosomal RNA", at positions 338 to 795 of the family's 1533-position model. The record is from RNAcentral.
CCUACGGGAGGCAGCAGUGGGGGAUCUUGCACAAUGGGGGAAACCCUGAUGCAGCGACGCCGCGUGGGUGAAGAAGCGCCUCGGCGCGUAAAGCCCUGUCAGCAGGGAAGAAAAUGACGGUACCUGAAGAAGAAGCACCGGCUAACUACGUGCCAGCCGCCGCGGUAAUACGUAGGGGGCAAGCGUUAUCCGGAUUUACUGGGUGUAAAGGGGGCGCAGACGGCGAUGCAAGCCAGGAGUGAAAGCCCGGGGCCCAACCCCUGGACUGCUCUUGGAACUGCGUGGCUAGAGUGCAGGAGGGGCAGGCGGAAUUCCUGGUGUAGCGGUGAAAUGCGUAGAAAUCAGGAGGAACACCGGUGGCGAAGGCGGCCUGCUGGACUGCAACUGACGUUGAGGCCCGAAAGCGUGGGGAGCAAACAGGAUUAGAUACCCGAGUAGUC